This 252-nucleotide long non-coding RNA is filed under the name Lathyrus oleraceus (garden pea). RNAcentral's name for it is "Pisum sativum (pea) long non-coding RNA (PSAT_LNC014934)". The record is from RNAcentral. Lineage: Eukaryota; Viridiplantae; Streptophyta; Magnoliopsida; Fabales; Fabaceae.
CUUCCUCUUGUACCAAGGCCGAGAUUAUUGCAGUAUUAGUGGUUGAUAGGUACAUAUAUAAGGGAACUCCCCUUUAUGGGCGAGGAAGCACCAGAGGGGCUGCCAAAAAUUUCUUCAUCUCUUGAAACGCCUUUUUGCACUCAUAUGUUCUAAAAUUGCUUCGUCGGUAACUAUAUGAUUUCAUAUGUAUUUUUAUUUUUUGCGACAUUUUUAAUAUUUUUUAUUUAUCAUUUAUUAUAAUUUUGAUUCACU